AAGGCAUGCCCCUUGUUUUCUAAGAAUUUAAAAUCUACUGGCAAAUACAGACAAAUUAGAGACUGUAAUAAUUAUUAGAACAGUCAUUAUAUAUUUUGUUCUAUCUCUAAAGUGUUCAAACUUAUUACUAUUUAUUGUUAAAAAAGCAAGGUUGACAAUUGAUCUUUUACUCAAAGUAUAUAAUUCUAAUGUAAUAUAAAGUAAUUAUGCAGCUUCAAAUAUUUUAGUUUAGUUAUUUUUGUUGUGUUUCUCUAUUUGUUUGCUUUUUCCAUUUUAGUUUAUUGAUUCUACCCGACUGCUUUGUAGUUGAAUAAGAUCUUGACUAUGGAGUUGAAUGUGGAACACUGUAGGAUUUUUCUACAGUGCAGAAUGAUCUAGGUGGCAAGGAAGUCUGGAUAUUUUCCUGAACCUGAAGUGAAAAUAUAUGAAAAUUGAAGAACUCACUAAAAAGUAAACUGAGAUGUAUUGGACCAAAAACAUGGAAAUGUAAACUAUCUCAUAUGGUGAAUAUGUGGUUGGCACCAAACAGAUGCUCUAUAAAUCUUUAUUGAAUAAAAUCACCAACCAUGUUUAUUGAUUAGAGUGAGGUGUUUGCAAACAGACAGUGAGUAUAGGAGAGUAGAUGAAAAGCAGUCCCAAAUGUCAUCCACCUUUUCAUCUAAAAGAGACUGAAGAAAAGACGGGUGACUCCUCACUUUCCCAUACCACAGACUGAGCGCCCCAUCUGUUGGAUGAAACUCUUACCCCGAUCUGAAAAAUCUAAAGUUCAGAUGUAAAGAUCAAGAUGAUACUGGAACCAUCUCAUAGUCUCCAAGCAUAACAUUAGAUAAUUCUUAUAUACAUUAUUUAUUAUGUUCUUCCCCCCAAAUACUCCAGGAAUGCAGAGAUGAUAUUCUUAUAUUCAUUUUUCUUUUGUUUUGUUUUUCAAGAUGGAGUCUCACUCUGUCGCUCAAGCUGGAAUGCAGUGACACGAUCUCAGCUCACUGCAACCUUCGCCUCCCGAGUUCAAGCAAUUCUCCUGCCUUAGCUGCCUGAAUGGCUGGGACUACAGAAGGCACUAUUUCAACACCUUUGAUGUAGAGAUUAUUGUGUUGGGAUCUUCACAUUUGAAGGAGUUCACCACAUGGUGAGAAAGACUGAUCAGAAUCAUUACAAACCAAUGUGCAAUCUCUCAGCAAAUCCUCAAGCAAAACCUCUGCCUCCUGAUCUCCUGCCUCAGCCUCCCAGGAUUCCUUCAACUUUAAUUGUGGGGGUAAAAUCAGGCAGCCACUGAAGAUAAAAUACAGUCCCUGGGAGUAAUCACAAUUCACAAUGCUGUUUUCUUUUGUGAAGUGGACAUGAAAGAGUUUUUUGGUUUUUUUGUUUUGUUUUGUUUUGUUUUUUGUUUUUUUUUUUUUUGCGCAAGUGGUCAGAAGUUGUUAAAAUUGUCCCCAUUCAUGGGUACAAAUUCUGGAGAUAUAUAAUGAUAGGUGGAAAAAAGAGAAACAAAAUUGUAUAUAAUUUAUUAUUUCAAUAAAAAUACACAUCCAUAUAACUUUUAUAGAAAGAGAAGACAUAAUACUGUUAUACCCAAAUAGCAACAAUAGUUAACUCUGAGAAGUAGCAUAUUAAUUGUUACUUUAUCCUUUGUUCUUUUCUAUGACUCCUUCAAGAGAACAUAUCUCACUUUGGUCAUUAGGAAAACUUUUCUUUUCUUUUAAAUAGUUCUAAAUUUAUAUGCCUAGUCUUAUUCAAAAUGCAACUGAGAGCUACUUCCUACUGUCCCCCUAAAUCUUCAGUUAAUCUCAUAAGAUAUGAGAACCACCCUGAUUUUAACAUUAGAGAUUGAGCCAUCUGUCUGAAUUAUGAAUUCUUUCAACAUUUAACUCAUGCUUACUAUGUGUCACGGGUAUUUUGUUAGACACUGGAAAUACAAAAAUGUAUAUAUGCAGACAAUUAUAAAACAAUGUAGAAAUGGAAUAAUAAAAUUAUUCACAGGGUAUUUUUGGAGCCUCAAGAAAAAAGAGCACCUAACUGAGUCAGGCUGGAGUUCACAGAGGACUUUCUAGAAAACAUGUUAUUUGAACUGGAGGGAGAUGAAGAGGAGAUGCUCUAUUACUCCGGGUUGAGAGGAUAGUAUUUGCAAAGACUUGGAGAUAAUCAGCAUGAAAGUGUAUGCAGGGAAACUUCACCUACAUUCUGUUCAUUUGACAUUGCUAAGAUGUGAUUCCCCACUCUUCAGUACAAGCUGCCUCCUCAGAUGUCCAGUGUUGCCAUCUCAUCUCCUAAACUGAGUAUGCUGUGUCUGUGGACAGGCUUUGACUGUGGGUAUCUUGGCCAGCAUGUUACAGUUUACCUACAUUUUGCUAGGAUCAUAUAAAUUCACACUAAUUCCACUAUUUGUUUGGGUUUUGGCCCCAGAAGUAUCUGUAGUGUAUUGGAUUUGGCAAGAUUUUACUCAAGUCAACGUGAUAUUUCGUUGGGCAACUUGAUCCUCUGCCUGUUCCCUAUCACCACCGUAGGUUUUAAGAAGUAUAUAUACUGGGGGAGAGCAAUGGUUCUCGAAGCCCAGUUCCUGGGCAAGCAACGUCACAUUCUAAAACUUGUUAGAAAUGAAAAUUCUCAGGCACUCUUGAGACCUACUCAAAUAGAAACUAUGUGAGUGAGCUCAGCAACCUGUGGCUUAACAAAUACUUCAGGUGAUUCUAAAAAACACUAAAUUUUAAGAACCAUUGAUGUAGAGAAAAUGGACAGGCAAUAAUUACUAGUAUUGAGUGUUGAUCUCAUGCCACAUGUAAUUUCCUGGUGACCUUGGUUGGAUCAGGAAGAGCUGUAAGAGGAGUUUCUGUAUGCAGUAGUUGAAGGUCUUGUGGGGACAUUUUUUCUUAGAAACUUGCCAUACAAAGCAUCUGCAGAAAUAGUGAGAUUGCAUCCAACACCAUCUUGGAACUUAUUGGAAGUUCAGAAUCUCAGAUCCUACAGUCCAUUUCAGGCCUAUUGAAUCAUAAUGUUUCUGCUAACUGAUCCCCAGUUGGUUAAAUUCAAGUUUGAGAAGUGCUAUGGCUAUACUCUUAUUUCAGACCUCAAUGCUUGCUUAACUACAAUUAUUUAAACAGUACCUGCAUGAGUUUUGCCUUAUUUAUGCACCAUGGUUACUAUUAUUUACUUAAAAUUUCUAUGUGAACCCAACUCAUACCUUAAAAAAUAAAUCGUUUUUAAAUUAGACUAUACCAAUUCCAUUGAAGGAAAAGCAUCUCAAUUUGCUUCAAGUAGAGAAUAAACAUAAAAAUACAGUGAAAAGUAAGAAAUAUUACUAAAUUAUAGCUAGAUAUUGUUGACUGCCAAAGGUUGCUAUGCCUGUAUUUCCACUGUGAAAAGGGAGAGGCACAAGUAUUAAAGAAAUGUUAAAACAUCUAGCUUAGAACUCAAACUCUCUCUGAAAAAGAGGACCAAAGGAGUAUUUGAAAGGGGAUUCUCAUUGUUAUGCCAUUCAAGAUUAGGGAAAGCUCAAUUCCUGGGAAACCUAAAAUUAUCCAAUUUACUACCUAAAAAUAAAGUCCUAGACCCCUGUCAACAAUUCUGUAGGAAACAGUGUUUCAGUACAGUGCUUCUCAAACUUUAAAGUGCAUUAAAAUCCUCUAGGGAUCUUGUGAGAAUGAGGAUUUUUAUUCUAUAGGUUUGGAAUAAACUGCAGGAUUCUACAUUUUUUAACAGGCUCCAAGGUGCCAUUGUUGAGGGGACCAUACUUUGAGUAGCAAGGGUGUAGAUAUUACCACCUAAAUAUGAAGAAACCACAAAGAGUUGCACAAGAAAAGGCAUUCAAUGAGAAAAGAGAGAGGUGAUGGAUGAAUACUUCCAUAUAGGCACCUGUAUACUUCUGCUGCUGAAGGUUCAACCCCACAUCACAGGAUGCAAUUGUGCCUUCAAUACCUCAAAGGUGGCAAGUAGCAUUGGUUGGAGUUGUGAGGAAAAUGAAGAUCUCUCAGGUUUGGAUUGUUGCAUCAACAAAGAAAUUGGACUGGGCACAGUGGUUCACGCCUGUAAUGCCAGCACUUUGGGAGGCCGAGGUGGGGGGAUCACCUGAAGUCAGAAAUUUGAGACCAGCUUGGCCAACGUGGUGAAACCCCAUCUCUACUAAAAAUACAAAAAAUUAGCCGGACGUGGUGGCGCAUGCCUGUAGUCCUAGCUACUUAUUUCGGAAUCGCUUGAACCUGGGAGCUGAAGGUUGGAGUGAGCCAAGAUCAUGCCACUGAACUCCAGCCUGGGUGACAGAGUGAGACCUUGUCUCAAAAAAACAAACAAAACAAAACAAACAAACAAAAACCAGAGUAAUUAGCUGGUCCGCGUUUAUACCUAAUGGUAGCUGAUUAUAGUGACUGGAGGCCCGAAACCAUUAAACAUCCACAUGAACACACUGCAGUCUGUCUUUUCAAGGGAGGCCUAAACUGGCCUGUCAAGCAUAGCUCAGUUGGACAGUGACAAAUUUUCUCAAAAAGGGGCCCAAGCUGUUCAAAACGGCAUUGGGUUCUAAGAAUAGUUCUAACACAGCAGCUCUGACAUUCUUUAACCCCAUUGUUCCCCCUAAAAGGGAUUCUACUUUUGGAUGACCCAUGCCUCUCAAUUUGGUCUUAUCUAACCUCUGAAUUUUAGUCUAGCUUAGUGCAGAUUGAUUGCACAGCCCUGUGCAGCAUUCACCCAGAGCACAUUUAUUAAGUUCUUACCAUAUGCAUCAAAAAAGUUGGAAGUGGAGGCAACAAAGCUCAGAUGAAAAGCUCUGUUCUUCACACUGAUGGAAAAUAGCAAUCCCAUCCCCUAAGUCUACACAGCCUGCAGCAGCCAAGAAAACCUAGAUCUGGCACACUUUACCAAAAAGAGAAAGCAAAACCAAUUCAGGACUCCAAAUCCAUGAGUCAUGAUGUUUGGCCACUAAUAGGAGCCUAAUUAGCCUGAUGAUUUUCCUCUUCAUGCCCUAGAGUCAUGGCCUUGGGCAUAAUCAUCACAGACACCAGUCCCCUAAAUUCAAAAUUCGUUUGUCAGCUCUCAGCCUGUGUCCAAUGAUGCAAAAAAAAAAAAUCGAUUUUGAUCUCUUCAGGCAAUCUGCCAGUCAGCUUAAUGUAAAAUAAUCAGCCAAAGUGAUGUUUAACUGAAUUGACUAGGUAUUUGGUAACUUUCUUUUUCUUCUUUGAAUUGACAGGUCAAAUCAGUCAGAAGAAAUUAUCAGCCUCAGGCAGACAAAGUCAAAAUUGUUGUCUCCUCUGCACUUUUUCCAAAUCACCCACCACAAAGUCCAGGUGCCUUUUAUUGUAUUGCUAAAAUAAGAUGCAAGAGAGGCAGAGAUAAAUCGGUUUACUUAGCAAAUAAUUAAAAAGAGUUUACUGUGUACCAGGCACUUUCCUAAGCACUUCACAAACAUUGACUAGUUUAAUUCUCUUAAGAAACAUAAAACACAUUAUUAACCCCAUUUUGCAGAUAACGAAACAAAUUCACAUAGAGAUCAAGUGACUGGAUGAAAAGCAGCCAGCCAGUGGGUGCUGGAUCCAGAUAUCACUCAAAACUACCCAUGAUCUUAACCAGUAUUCCUAUACUCCACUGCCUCGAACCCACGGUAGUCAGAGAUCACACUCCUAGGCCUGCCAAUGCUAGCCAGCUGAAGGUCACAGAGCUCAGUAGUGACCAAGACAGUAAGACAAUCUUGCCAAAGAUCCUUGGUGGGAUCAGAGUUGUCCUCUUCAAAGACUGACAAGGUCAUUAUUUAGGGAAUGGACGUAA
This 5748-nucleotide long non-coding RNA is filed under the name Homo sapiens (human). RNAcentral describes it as "HSALNT0069816". The record is from RNAcentral. Lineage: Eukaryota; Metazoa; Chordata; Mammalia; Primates; Hominidae.